CCAAAGUGCUGGGAUUACAAACAUGAGCCACUGCGCCUGGCCAUGAAAACUCUUUUCUAUUGAAGAAUGCAGAAUAAAUGAUAACAGAAAAAUCAGCAUUUAAUGACUCAGCAAUAACUGACUUAGGCAAGAAUCAAUAAAAGACACUAAAACGACUGAGUGAAAGAUUCUUAGAGAACGGUAAAUGCUGAAAUCUAGAAGAUACUGCCUUAACCAAACUAUUAAGCCAAACCUCACCAAUAACAGGACAGCUGACACCGUGCUCCCCUGGUGUGGUUCACUGAGGACAACGCUACCUACUUACCUAGGAAGCACUCUUGCCAAAAAAAAAAAAAGUAACUAGAAUAUAAUCAGGAAGAAACUCCUGGCAAACCCAAAUUGAGAAAUAUUCUGCCAAAGAGUUGGCCUUGAUUCUUCAAAAAUGUCAAUGUCUGCCAGGCGCUGUGACUCACGCCCAUAAUGCCGGCACUUUGGGAGGCCGAGGUAAAAGUAUCGCUUGAGCUCAGGAGUUUGAGACCAGCCUGUACAACAUGCUGAAACCGCAUCUCUGCUAAAAAUACAAAAAAUUAGCCAGGUGUGGUGAUGCAGGCCUAUAGUCCCAGCUACUUGGGAGGCUGAGAUGGGAGAAUCACCUGAGCCCAGGAAGUCAAGGCUGCAGUGAUUUAUGAUCUGAUCACUGCCUUCCAGCCUGGGUGACAGAAUGAGACCCUAUCUCAAAAAAAAUUAAUUAAUUAAUUAAAAUAAAAUAAAAAUAAAAAAAGUCAAUGUCAUAAAAGACAAAGAAAGGCUGAAGAAGUGAUUCAGCCCGUGAUCCUUGACUGGAUCCUGGGUGAAAGCAAAAGCAGCUCUAAAGGACACUUUGCAGACUAAAUGUUAGCUAACACCAUUGUAUCAGUGAGAAAGUGCAGAGUGUGGUGAGUCCAUUGAGGCUCUGUAGAAGAAAGUCCUUGUUCUUUUUGUUUGUUUGUUUUUGAGACGGCGUCUCACCCCAUUGCCCAGGUUGGAGUACAAUGGCACAAUCUUGGCUCACUGCAAACCUCCACCUCCCGGGUUCAAGCGAUUCUCCUGCCUCAGCCUCCCGAGUAGCUGGGAUUACGGGUGCGUGCCACCAUGCCCAGCUAAUUUUUUGUAUCUUUAGUAGAGACGGGGUUUCACCAUUCUGGCCGGGCUGGUCUCGAACCUCGUGAUCCACUCGCCUCAACCUCCCAAAGUGCUGGGAUUACAGGCGUGAGCCACUGUGCCCAGCCGAAAGCCCUUGUUCUUAGGAGGUGUUUGCUGAAAAGUCCCAUGAUGUAUAUAACAAACUUGCAAGUGGCUUAACGAAAAAUUUGUGUUUAGGAUUUUUUUUCUUUUUUUUUUGAGAUGGAGUCUCGCUCUAUCACCCAGGCUGGAGUGCAGUGGUGCCAUCUUGGCUCACUGCAGCCUCCGCUUCCCAGGUUCAAGCAAUUCUCCUGCCUCAGCCUCCCGAGUAGCUGGGAUGACAUGCACCUGCCACCAUGCCCGGCUAAUUUUUGUAUUUUUGUAGAGACAGGGUUUCACCACAUUGGCCAGGCUGGUCUUGAACUCUUGACCUCAGGUGAUCUGCCAGCCUCAGCCUCCCAAAGUGCUGGGAUUACAGGUGUGAGCCACCGUGCCCGGUGGUUUAGGAAUUUUUUUUUUUAAUGAAGGUGGGGGAAUGGCCACUGUGAAAGAAAAAUAAAUCUCAACUCCAAAAUCACUAAGCUAAGGGAAAAGUCAAGCUGGGAACCUGCCUCCCAUUUUAAUUCCUGAAUAAGAUGGCUAUAAAGAUAAAACAGCUACAUGCCUCCCUCACAAUUUGCCCACAAGGAAAUUCCUUGUGGGCCUCAAGAUCUUUACCCUACUCAGGAUCAUGCCAAGAAUUAAAAAAAAAAACAAAAAACAAAACUUUACCCUGAAACAUUUCUGUUGAAUUCAUCCUGGCAAUGUAAACUGAUAGCUGAUCUUAACAGGUGCAGGACAGAAAAUCAUUCCUCUGCUCACCUGAGAGAAAUGCUUAUCUGAUUGCUUCCUCAGACCUACUGUGUAUGUAAAAAUGAAGAUUCACUGAGCCAGACUAGAUUGUGAAUUCACUGAAAGGCUGAUCAAGGACUCAAAAGAAUGCAAGCUUUUGUCUCUUAUCUACCUAUGACCUGGAAGCCCCCCUCUUCGAGUUGUCCUGUGUUACUGGAUGGAACCAAAGUAUAUCUUACAUAUAUUAAUUGAUGUCUCAGGUCUCCCUAAAAUGCACAAAAGCAAGCUGUACCCCAGCCACCUUGGGGACGUGUCGUCAGGACCUGUUGGCAAAAUAAACUUUUAAAUUGCUUGAGACCUGUCUCAG
RNAcentral lists this long non-coding RNA (2338 nucleotides) under Homo sapiens (human). RNAcentral describes it as "HSALNT0300510". Lineage: Eukaryota; Metazoa; Chordata; Mammalia; Primates; Hominidae. The record is from RNAcentral.